Molecule: transfer RNA, 62 nt
Filed under: Eisenia nordenskioldi
Lineage: Eukaryota; Metazoa; Annelida; Clitellata; Crassiclitellata; Lumbricidae
Description: tRNA-Val
Source: RNAcentral
CGAGGUAUAGCAUAUAUAAUGCUUUUUACUUACACUAAAUCUAAAACACUAGUUUGCCUCGC